This 162-nucleotide unclassified non-coding RNA is filed under the name rhizosphere metagenome. RNAcentral's name for it is "partial ribosomal RNA internal transcribed spacer region". The record is from RNAcentral.
GAAUUUCAAGGACGUUCUUUUUAGAAGUCCGACCAUUUCAUUUUCUUACACCGUGCACACACUUUUUUUACACCAUUUUUAACACAUUAGUAUAAGAAUGUAAUCAGUCUCUUAAUUGAGCAUAAAACAAAUAAAACUUUCAGCAACGGAUCUCUUGGCUCU